AACAUCACAACAAGAAUUUUCUUUUGUAAGUAAUCUGUGUGUCAUUAAUACAUUUUCUGUGAAUUGUUUAAAGGAUUUGACGGACUAAGCACAGAAAGAAAAUCAGGUCUUAUAUUACCCUGUACAUGUUUAAUGGUUAAAGUGGUGGCAAGAUUAUGAAUUAAAACAGAAACAGAGUUUGCACUAUUGAAACUCUUCAUGCAUGAUGUGAGAUGCUUGGAUUUUUGUUCCAUCCCUAGAAUUAAAGAUGAAACUGAGCACAUCAAUCAUGUUUUGUUUGUAUUGUUAAUGUCACAGUGUCUAAAUUUUCACAAUUUCUAGAUAUCUGGUGUGUUGUUUUUUUCAUUCAGAUUCCAGUGAAACUCAUCACCGUGAGACUCAGCCCGACUGUGCUCUUUGCUGGAUGCUCUUCUAUUCUCUCUGUCCAGCUUUUGUUAAGGAACCUCAAGUUGAUGAAAAACCGUACGGCAGAAGAGACCAGACUACAAGAAAUCAGGAUGACGAAGUGUAUGCUGCAUUGGAAAUCCGUCAGGCAUCACAGAGACCAAAGAAGAAGAGGACAGCCCAGAUUUCUGAUUUCAGCACCUACUCAGCUAUCAACACUUGCACCAUGUAAUAAUAAUGAUGUUUUUUCCUCCCACAGAAAUGACAAAGAAAUGUCUGUC
This is a long non-coding RNA of Oreochromis aureus, 665 nucleotides long. RefSeq lists it as uncharacterized. The transcript has 3 exons. The record is from RefSeq and is a predicted model, not a curated record. Lineage: Eukaryota; Metazoa; Chordata; Actinopteri; Cichliformes; Cichlidae.